Molecule: ribosomal RNA, 860 nt
Filed under: Flavocetraria cucullata
Lineage: Eukaryota; Fungi; Ascomycota; Lecanoromycetes; Lecanorales; Parmeliaceae
Description: SSU rRNA
Rfam family: Bacterial small subunit ribosomal RNA
Source: RNAcentral
GUAUAGCAAUAGCUACUUGCAUCAUUCUAAAUAUGAUGCAAGAUCGACUAUGUCGAAUAAAAUUCUAGGUAGAAUUAUGAUAAUGACAUUGUCUGCCUAUGUGUCUUGACCAAAUUACGUGCCAGCAGUCGCGGUAAUACGUAGAAGACUAGUGUUAUUCAUGUUUAAUCGGUUUAAAGGGUACCUAGACGGUAAAUCAAGCCUAAAAGGAAAUAAAUGAAGGGACUAAUUUACUAGAGUUACUUAUGAGGGGGUAUUAAAGUACUGCUGGUGUAGAGAUGAAAUUCUGUCAUACCUCUUUUCAAUAGAAAAAUAAUGGCACAGGUAUAGGCGAAAGCAUCCCCUUAUGUGAUAACUGACGUUGAGGGACGAAGGCUUUGUGUAGCGAACAGGAUUAGAUACCCCAGUAGUCAAAGCAGAAAAUGAUGAAUGUCAUAGAUUAGAUAUAUAAGUUUAUUCUAUAAAUGAAAGUGUAAGCAUUCCACCUCAAGAGUAAUUUGGCAACAUUGGAACUGAAAUCAUUAGACCGUUUCUGAAACCAGUAGUGAAGUAUGUUGUUUAAUUUGAUGAUCCGCAAAAAACCUUACCACAAUUUGAAUAUUUAUAUCUUUUAUUGUUUUUCUUUUUAACUUUCUUCUGAUUUUCUACUUAAAAGAUAACAAUAACAAGAAAAAAGAGGCAAUAAGAUAUAUUUACAAGCGUUGCACGGCUGUCUUCAGUUAAUGUCGCGAGACUCUGGUUAGUUCCAUUAAAUUAACGUAAACCCUUACUUUAUUUUUAUAUAGAGUAGUUCCCCGCUAUAUUGGAUAUGAUAACAGGGACUAAGACAAGUCAUCAUGGCCUAAAUAUUGUGGGCUAUA